GGAAAGGGCGGCAGCCCUUACCAUGCAGUCGAACGGCAGCACGGAGCUUGCUCUGGUGGCGAGUGGCGAACGGGUGAGUAAUAUAUCGGAACGUACCCUAGAGUGGGGGAUAACGUAGCGAAAGUUACGCUAAUACCGCAUACGAUCUAAGGAUGAAAGUGGGGGAUCGCAAGGCCUCAUGCUCGUGGAGCGGCCGAUAUCUGAUUAGCUAGUUGGUAGGGUAAAAGCCUACCAAGGCAUCGAUCAGUAGCUGGUCUGAGAGGACGACCAGCCACACUGGAACUGAGACACGGUCCAGACUCCUACGGGAGGCAGCAGUGGGGAAUUUUGGACAAUGGGCGAAAGCCUGAUCCAGCAAUGCCGCGUGAGUGAAGAAGGCCUUCGGGUUGUAAAGCUCUUUUGUCAGGGAAGAAACGGUGAGAGCUAAUAUCUUUUGCUAAUGACGGUACCUGAAGAAUAAGCACCGGCUAACUACGUGCCAGCAGCCGCGGUAAUACGUAGGGUGCAAGCGUUAAUCGGAAUUACUGGGCGUAAAGCGUGCGCAGGCGGUUUUGUAAGUCUGAUGUGAAAUCCCCGGGCUCAACCUGGGAAUUGCAUUGGAGACUGCAAGGCUAGAAUCUGGCAGAGGGGGGUAGAAUUCCACGUGUAGCAGUGAAAUGCGUAGAUAUGUGGAGGAACACCGAUGGCGAAGGCAGCCCCCUGGGUCAAGAUUGACGCUCAUGCACGAAAGCGUGGGGAGCAAACAGGAUUAGAUACCCUGGUAGUCCACGCCCUAAACGAUGUCUACUAGUUGUCGGGUCUUAAUUGACUUGGUAACGCAGCUAACGCGUGAAGUAGACCGCCUGGGGAGUACGGUCGCAAGAUUAAAACUCAAAGGAAUUGACGGGGACCCGCACAAGCGGUGGAUGAUGUGGAUUAAUUCGAUGCAACGCGAAAACCUUACCUACCCUUGACAUGGCUGGAAUCCUUGAGAGAUCAGGAGUGCUCGAAAGAGAACCAGU
RNAcentral lists this ribosomal RNA (1001 nucleotides) under uncultured bacterium. RNAcentral's name for it is "bacterial SSU rRNA". It matches the Rfam family "Bacterial small subunit ribosomal RNA", at positions 30 to 1031 of the family's 1533-position model. The record is from RNAcentral.